UACGAAGGGGGCUAGCGUUGUUCGGAAUCACUGGGCGUAAAGCGCACUUAGGCGGAUGUGUCAGUCAGGGGUGAAAUCCCGGGGCUCAACCUCGGAACUGCCUUUGAUACAGCAAAUCUCGAGUCCGGAAGAGGUGGGUGGAAUUCCUAGUGUAGAGGUGAAAGUCGUAGAUAUUAGGAAGAACACCAGUGGCGAAGGCGGCCCACUGGUGCGGUACUGACGUUGAGGUGCGAAAGCGUGGGGAGCAAACAGG
This 253-nucleotide ribosomal RNA is filed under the name uncultured bacterium. RNAcentral's name for it is "partial 16S ribosomal RNA". It matches the Rfam family "Bacterial small subunit ribosomal RNA", at positions 524 to 776 of the family's 1533-position model. The record is from RNAcentral.